RNAcentral lists this ribosomal RNA (254 nucleotides) under uncultured bacterium. RNAcentral's name for it is "partial 16S ribosomal RNA". It matches the Rfam family "Bacterial small subunit ribosomal RNA", at positions 524 to 776 of the family's 1533-position model. The record is from RNAcentral.
UACGUAGGGUGCAAGCGUUGUCCGGAAUUAUUGGGCGUAAAGAGCUCGUAGGCGGCUCGGUAAGUCGGGUGUGAAACCUCCAGGCUCAACCUGGAGACGCCACCUGAUACUGCUGUGGCUAGAGUCCGGUAGGGGAGUGUGGAACUCCUGGUGUAGCGGUGAAAUGCGCAGAUAUCAGGAAGAACACCAGCGGCGAAGGCGGCACUCUGGGCCGGAACUGACGCUGAGGAGCGAAAGCGUGGGUAGCAAACAGG